RNAcentral lists this ribosomal RNA (406 nucleotides) under uncultured bacterium. Its description in RNAcentral is "partial 16S ribosomal RNA". It matches the Rfam family "Bacterial small subunit ribosomal RNA", at positions 30 to 526 of the family's 1533-position model. The record is from RNAcentral.
AUUGAACGCUGGCGGCAGGCCUAACACAUGCAAGUCGAGCGAGCGGCGGACGCGGGAGUAAUGUCUGGGAAACUGCCUGAUGGAGGGGGAUAACUACUGUAAACGGUAGCUAAUACCGCACACUAUCAGAGGUGCCCAGAUGGGAUUAGCUAGUAGGUGGGGUAACGUCUCACCUAGGCGACGAUCCCUAGCUGGUCUGAGAGGAUGACCAGCCAAACUGGAACUGAGACACGGUCCAGACUCCUACGGGAGGCAGCAGUGGGGAAUAUUGCACAAUGGGCGCAAGCCUGAUGCAGCCAUGCCGCGUGUAUGAAGAAGGCCUUCGGGUUGUAAAGCACUUUCAGCGGGGAGGCGUUACCCGCAGAAGAAGCACCGGCUAACUCCGUGCCAGCAGCCGCGGUAAUAC